This 305-nucleotide ribosomal RNA is filed under the name uncultured bacterium. Its description in RNAcentral is "bacterial SSU rRNA". It matches the Rfam family "Bacterial small subunit ribosomal RNA", at positions 333 to 653 of the family's 1533-position model. The record is from RNAcentral.
AGUUGCCUACGGGGGGCAGCAGUGGGGAAUAUUGGGCAAUGGGCGCAAGCCUGACCCAGCAACGCCGCGUGAAGGAAGAAGGCUUUCGGGUUGUAAACUUCUUUUGACAGGGAAGAGCAGAAGACGGUACCUGUCGAAUAAGCCACGGCUAACUACGUGCCAGCAGCCGCGGUAAUACGUAGGUGGCGAGCGUUAUCCGGAAUGAUUGGGCGUAAAGGGUGCGCAGGCGGUCCUGCAAGUCUGGAGUGAAACGCAUGAGCUCAACUCAUGCAUGGCUUUGGAAACUGGAGGACUGGAGAGCAGGG